Molecule: long non-coding RNA, 537 nt
Organism: Paramacrobiotus metropolitanus
Lineage: Eukaryota; Metazoa; Tardigrada; Eutardigrada; Parachela; Macrobiotidae
Exons: 2
Source: RefSeq, a predicted model, not a curated record
UCGGUUGCUGAUCACUGUACACUGUACAAUACAGCGAUUUAGUGGGGGCUGUGGGAGCCUUACCUCGCGGCUAAAGGGAUCCGAUCCGAGGCUAACGCGGCGCUCGAAGAUCGAUCGUCGUCGCUGUGGCUGCGGCUGCGCCGGUGCUGGAUCGGCCUGAUUGAUCCGAUUCUGCAACUGCUCCUGAAUAAUCGCCGGCUCCGCUGCGUUCUCCUGUGCAAAUUCAAGAAGCCAGGGAUGAAAAGCGGUAUCAGCGUACUGUAAAGGUCACCUGCUACACACCAUGGAUUCUAAUAAAUUUGCGUGCACGUCGUAAUCAACGCGGUGAGAAAAUGGAUUACACUCACAGGGACCGGAAUUUGUGCACUUACAUGGCGCGAAAAGGAGUUGGCGCGAUCGCGACUCAGAGGAGUUUGAAACCAGCCCAGAACCAUUUUUUCUCCUUUUCGAAAACGUUCAACUAGCUGUAAAUUGGGAAUCUGUAGUUUUCAAGUGCUUCGCAGUAUAAUCCGAAUUGUCAGUGUACGAGGAGAGCAA